Molecule: ribosomal RNA, 525 nt
Filed under: Penicillium sp. 15m
Lineage: Eukaryota; Fungi; Ascomycota; Eurotiomycetes; Eurotiales; Aspergillaceae
Description: partial 18S ribosomal RNA
Rfam family: 5.8S ribosomal RNA (bases 198-350)
Source: RNAcentral
GAACCUGCGGAAGGAUCAUUACCGAGUGAGGGCCCUCUGGGUCCAACCUCCCACCCGUGUUUAUUUUACCUUGUUGCUUCGGCGGGCCCGCCUUAACUGGCCGCCGGGGGGCUUACGCCCCCGGGCCCGCGCCCGCCGAAGACACCCUCGAACUCUGUCUGAAGAUUGUAGUCUGAGUGAAAAUAUAAAUUAUUUAAAACUUUCAACAACGGAUCUCUUGGUUCCGGCAUCGAUGAAGAACGCAGCGAAAUGCGAUACGUAAUGUGAAUUGCAAAUUCAGUGAAUCAUCGAGUCUUUGAACGCACAUUGCGCCCCCUGGUAUUCCGGGGGGCAUGCCUGUCCGAGCGUCAUUUCUGCCCUCAAGCACGGCUUGUGUGUUGGGCCCCGUCCUCCGAUCCCGGGGGACGGGCCCGAAAGGCAGCGGCGGCACCGCGUCCGGUCCUCGAGCGUAUGGGGCUUUGUCACCCGCUCUGUAGGCCCGGCCGGCGCUUGCCGAUCAACCCAAAUUUUUAUCCAGGUGACCUC